UGAGGACCGACAACUGAUCAUUGACAUAGCAACAUGGAGGCCACUGUUGAUUGAAUGAAGAGUAGUUUUAGUGGCUUCAUAAAGUCAAACAGAAUCUCUUUGGAAUGGUUUCAAAGGGAAAAUUUGGAAAGAAUUUAUACAACUUGUCAAGGAAUUCUUUAAGUAGAUGAAGACAAAUGUGGAGCAGCUGGAGAGAAGUGGCAUCAAAAGAGUGUUUUUCUUCUUAAAAUGGAAGAAAUAACAAGUUGAAGAAAUAGGAAGCAAGAUCAUGAACUUGGAGUGUGGAUGGGAGAGGAGGCAUGACAAGGAUAACAAGUCUGAGAAGAGAGGAGAAAACUGGGCUCUCUGCAACCAGAUCAAGCUAGGCUCGCUCCCAUCACUGGGCCUCAGAGCCUGGUAUUACUUUUCCUGAGAAAUCUGUUCUCCCGAUGAUCACACAGAUUCUUUCUUCUCAGUGUUCAGGUCUCAUCUGUGAUGUCAUCUUCUUUCCUGACCACCCCAAACAAAGCAGAUCCUGAGAACUA
Molecule: long non-coding RNA, 524 nt
Organism: Eptesicus fuscus (big brown bat)
Lineage: Eukaryota; Metazoa; Chordata; Mammalia; Chiroptera; Vespertilionidae
Exons: 2
Source: RefSeq, a predicted model, not a curated record